UACGUAGGGGGCAAGCGUUAUCCGGAAUUAUUGGGCGUAAAGAGUACGUAGGUGGCAACCUAAGCGCAGGGUUUAAGGCAAUGGCUCAACCAUUGUUCGCCCUGCGAACUGGGAUGCUUGAGUGCAGGAGAGGAAAGCGGAAUUCCUAGUGUAGCGGUGAAAUGCGUAGAUAUUAGGAGGAACACCAGUGGCGAAGGCGGCUUUCUGGACUGUAACUGACACUGAGGUACGAAAGCGUGGGGAGCAAACGGG
RNAcentral lists this ribosomal RNA (252 nucleotides) under uncultured bacterium. Its description in RNAcentral is "partial 16S ribosomal RNA". It matches the Rfam family "Bacterial small subunit ribosomal RNA", at positions 524 to 776 of the family's 1533-position model. The record is from RNAcentral.